Molecule: long non-coding RNA, 10141 nt
Filed under: Varroa destructor (honeybee mite)
Lineage: Eukaryota; Metazoa; Arthropoda; Arachnida; Mesostigmata; Varroidae
Description: uncharacterized LOC111250516, transcript variant X1
Source: RNAcentral
CACUGAGCUGCUGAGAAAAGGUAGCGCCUGUGUUUCGACGACAAAGGUGCUAACUUUACGACCUGCAAACUUUACUCUGGUCUUCCAUGACGGUCCUUUUCGACAAGCAACAGGUUUGCAGAUAAAAAUGUCCCUGCCAAGAAUAUUUGUUCAAUGCAACUUUACGGCUUUAAUUUGAGGUGAUGAGUAACAGGCAGCGGCUAGCAGUGGAUCGAUGCAGGCGGCUCUUUCCCGCGAACCCCUACUUCCCUCCGAUAGGCUACACGACAGCGUGAGGGAUCUGACUGACCUCUCUACAGAGAUGGUGGCGGAGAAGUGGGGAGCGUGGUCAGGAUAAAGGGAUGACGCGGCGAGCGAGUUGGUGCCCAUAUAGAGGUGGUGGUCCAGAUGGAUUCGAAGGGAACGCCUCGAUAGACAAGAAGCUUCGACAAGGAAAGGUAGAAAGCUAGAUAGCAACGAAAGAAGGUUGUAUGGAAAGAAUUUGGGGAAACAGUGGGGGACGAUCAGCGGCAGGACAGGAGACUGUGGCAAGCAGUCUCGAUAGAUGCAAGUAGAUUAACUCAUUUUGGCCGCAGAUGAACACAUCCUAUAACCGCUUCUGCUGCUACUGCUAGCACUGUGACCACUGGACCUCCGUCGCCGCUAAGAUCCGUGGCUAUCCGAGAUUGCAAUCCAAAAAGGAGCAAGCAAAAGAAUAAGGAAAAACGCACUAUCGAAUACUAGAGAUGAAGCCAGAUUUGCCCAGGUCUCAUUGUAAACACAUACGUGGGCGGAAACACAAAGAAAGGCUCGCGCCACCAUCGCUUUGACCUUUGAAAAUCGUAGUUACUCACUAUAUAUAUAUAUAUAUAUAUAUAUAUAUAUCGAAACUUGGUACAGUCCUUUGAAAAGCUAUCCAGAACGCUUGCAGCCUAUACAUCGUGACGACAAAUAUUUAGUGGGUGCUUGUAUCCUAUAAUACUCUGUUGAAGUUUGCGUCAGAUAAAUUAGUUUGCCAUACAUAUUAUGCAAGUGCAUAUAAUAUGACUUGUAUCGUUUGGCUUGUUAAUUCGAUUGGUCGACAAACUUUGCAAACCUUAUGUAGAGUAUAGUAUAGGUGUAUAUUUUAUUUAAAAGUAUGUUCAGUUGCUGUUACAUUUUUAACAAAAAUGUAACAGUAACUGUUUGCUGCACUUCUCGUAUCUUAUUAAGUUGUCGAAAAAGUAAAUUAAAGCAUUUUUUUUUCUAUUUCAAAAUAAUGUUGCUCUGCGUUAAUCUGAUCGACAAUUUAUUAUUAUACUACACAAGCCCAUUAAUGCAGAAGUUCUGUGAUCUUUGGGCGAAAAAUUGUGACGAGUAAUUUUCACAUCCCUUCAUAAAAACUAAAUCUACAGGUCGAAACAGAUGAUAAUCUGAUGAUGCUAUACGGUCAAUGCGUUAAAAUGUCCUAUUCUAUAGAAAAUUCUCUCAUUUUUGGUGGAAAAUUACGCCUUUUCUGUUCACGGGUUCCGGUCGAUUUUUUCCUAUGACCUGUCAUUGUCCGAAUCAAUGUAACAACUUAUAAUGCACGAUUACUUUCCAAUCCCGCCAAACACCUCAUCACCUUUUUUAGCGUGAGUCUGAGCUUUGCCACGGAUUGUAGACCAUACUUUUUAAAUGUUCGUUUCUGCAUAUUAUUACCGUAUGUGACCUACUUUUUACCAGUCGUGGUUAAUCGUUUUUUUGUUACGUCUUUGAAGAGUUUCGCAAAUCGAUACACGAUUAAGUAAAUUAUUAUACGUUCGUGCAUUUUCUGUAGCCGGCUUUGUUUAAUAGAUUUGAAACUAAGAGUCAAUGUUUAAUUUCUCAGCUAAUGACGUGUUGGUCUUGCUCAUGUUCCACAAUCAUUUUCUCAGCUUUCUCUGCAGUUAGUCGGCCGCUACGAGCAAUGUUUCCAACUUGAAAAUUUGUAGAACAAAAGCGACAGAGCCGUAUUUGCGGCGUUUCUUCCUAUACUGCAUCCUGACUGUAAACGGCAUUAAUCUUUCAAUAGCCAGCCUUUGUGCCCUUACAUGGUAAAAGCUAACAAAUUUUUGUAGAAGCUUCACUCGUUUUGAACGCGCUCUACUUUAUUACUGAAUACUAGUAUUUCGAGGAUGCUAUCAGUGUAUAACCUAAGCUUUGCUAAAAUGACGCUUUUCGAUAACCCAAUGGUCAGUGGACAGUUUUUACAAAUUUUUAACCUGAGUAGAGUGCCGCAAAACAUGUUAUGUCUUUGGCAUUUAUACCGCUGCUACGAAGGAACAUGUCUGAGCACCAGUCACACGCCUGUCUCUUUUUGCUCAUAUACCGGCAUAUUUUACCGAUGUCUUACAAUUACUGUUUGUUUUUUAUUAGUUUUGUUUGUUCACUAAAGACAAUUUCCUGACUGCUCAUCACUGUGCAGUUGUAGGAUCAAUCUUUGCUUAGUAACAGGAAACGUAUGCAAUAUAUCCUCCGCCUAUACUCGCCGUUUGCUCGUUCAACCCUCAGCAGGGGCAGCCGCAACAACGAGACGAUGUCUGUUCUGCUUAGUCCUGCCUAGCUCGCUGACUGCUUGCCUUAUGCCUUGCUGUUUCCCCGCCUGUUCGUUUUCCUGCAAAACUUCCUCGCCGCCUUUACCAUGUUUUCGCAGAGCGCGUGAAACGAUGCGUGGCUUCAAUUAACAUAUUCAUAGCCGACAACCAACCUCCCGGCUAAGCAUCCGCGUUUACCCCUACGACACUACAACAGCAGCUGCAGCAACUGCCAAGCCGCAACAGUAACGGCAGCAAAUCGAAACAGGCGAAAUGCGUUACUCUAAAGAACUGAGCGACGUUCACACAAUGCUGGAACAGCCGCUACCCUCAGCCCCUCACCGCAAACAACAAUAACAACACCAAGAUGGAUCAUAUCAGGACCGGGGACGACAGAGCGCCUCGCUAUAUGCAUAGCACCCGUGGACAACGUUAAGCUCCGCAGGACAACAUGAGAUGAUGAUUACGAUGACGAUAACGGCUACAACUAAUACAACGAUGCAAAUAAGAAAACGGAUAAUAAUAAUAACGAGAACGAGUGAGAGUGCGAAAUAAACGCGCGGGUAGCAAACACACGAUAACGCACCGCCGCCGACGGCGGAACGGUGAUUAGGCGCAAAAAUGACCCACACACACCGUCGUCGGAGGCAUCUAUGUGAUCUUAAGGUCCGAAUGACACCAUCGUGGCUCUACUGCCAUAUCUGAUUGUUAUUAUAUAACGGUUAUUUCGAGUCAUUUCCCUAGAAGGACUUUUUGGUCUAACGACUUUGUGAAGCUCUUAAUAAAAAUUAUUGAAUAGAUGAAAGCUAGAACAGUCCUGGCAAAUCUCAUUCAGCUUUUAAGUCGUUCUUAGUUUCUGACUGCGCUUAGCAACAGCGAGAACGGCUGCAACUGAGAAACCAGAGGAAAGAGCAAGAUAAUUUUCUCAAAGUUGCAGUCUAACCAAUUACUAUCAUGAAGCAUGCCAGUAGUCCUACAACUGCUAGGAAACAACUUUUCCGAAACGAUCAACUAGUAAAAGAUGUUUGUUCCUAAACAUGCCAAGCUUAUCAGGCAGAGUCGACGACCGUUAAAGGUCACAGCGGACGAAUAUAAUAAGCAACCUUCAGGGUAACUAACUGGGUCACUGCAAGAAAUACGUUUCUCUACAAAGAAACAUUUGAGUAUCUAAAUAUUCAAUUGUGGAACCGGCCCAAGGGUAGUUUAGAUGUGGAAAGAGAGACCUUCGCUUUAUAUCAAUUUGUGUGUUGUUCACGCAGCAAAUGGUAGUUGAUUAUGUCAAGACUGAGUAUAUUGCGGGGUUGAAACGAGAGUUAGAUCAAUCUAGUCGUUUCCGUGUGUUUUCCUUAAUCAGCCAAGUGACGUGUAAAAUGUAAAAUCGUGACCCCGCCAAUGAAAUAUGUUCCUACUUUUCUGGGCAAAUAGUCAAGAAGCAGAUUUGUUGCUCCUUGGUCCUACGUGUAACCAGCAUUGUAAUUUAAGUUUAUUAUAUGCGUAUAAUAGAUACUUUCUCAUCGCAGUCGAAAAGCUUCUCCUGAAGCGCAAAAGUGUUCAGGUUGUAUAUGAUCACUGUGUGCUGUUUCGUGCAGUUACUGUAUAUUCCCUAUACGGGGUGAUUCUGCUGCCGCCUCUAUACUGCAGCAUCGUGCAUUGGGAUGAUUCUGUGCCCGAACGUUUGUCUUUGGCUGGGCUUCCGUUUAAUUGUGAGUCGAGUGAGUGGGUGAGUGAGUGAAAAGUAUUUGCGUCUGUGCGCCCGCGUGAGUCCAAAUAUAGAUUUCGCCAAGCGUUAGCACAUACAUGCAGUAUCCACACACAGUGCGCGCUAGCAAAAACGAUCGAGUGGAUUGAAAAAUGUUUGUUUUGCGAGUGUUCUUUGUGUUUACUUAGCCUUUACUGUUUGUACGUGGCUAACGUAGUAGGCUUUGUAAGUGCUGCACCUUCGAACGGCACUCGUCCCACUCGAAUGCGGGCGAAAGAAAGACCUUCGGUCGGCAACAUUGCAGGUGUGUGUGUUUACGGUCGAAGACACUUAGAAGCUAGCGUACAUUGCAAUUGACGGGAAAAAAAAUAAAACGAGAGGCUUAUUUCUGACAAACUUACUAAUAACAUUCAAGGUGCAAAGGAUUACUUUAUCAAGGAAGAAAGCUUUUGUGGUACGUUUUUCAAUUCAAUAAUUGUGUGCAGCGGUUACACUUAUAACGAUUACGUAGUCGUAUUUCCAUUCGAAUGAGCCGUAUGACUCGAACUGUAGAUGUUUUAGUUCUGGUCGCAGGCAGUGAUACCUGAAUUUGGCUAGUUUAAUUUAUCGAUUAUUUCAGUGGGCUAGUUAAUGUAUUAUCGGUCACAAGUGCAACGCUUACAUGUAAACCAAUAGGGUGGCGUGUAUUAUCGUACCAUGUCGACAAGGUUGACUUACUUCGCAGCGGGAUUUAAUAGGGUUUUGAAGUAGCGAAAUAGCUAGUAAGCAGUCUUCGUUCAGGGACUUAGUUCCUAGUAUUGUUCUUUUACCCGUCAUAGGCUACAUGGUACGCGGAGGUGUGCACGACGAGUUCUUUCUCUCGCAGAUGAAGUUUCUGCCCAUCACGUUAAACCACUGGCAAAUAGCCGAACUCAUUUCCUAGUUUUGUUUGGAACAAGAAGCGACACAUUUAUAACUUACUAUUGAUUUUAAUGACAUCAUCAAGAACCGUAAAGCGUUGUCACAGAGGCAUUGCGUGUCGUGACCUCGUAUAUGUGAUGCACUAAAAGGUUUUUACGUCGCAUUAAAUGUUUUCGAAGUUGAUCGCACUUACUGCUCUCACGGAAUAUUCCAUAAUGCAUUUCGAAAGCUUGCUUACUUGUCUUUCCCUGAUCAUACAGCCGCAAGAAAAGCAGUAGCUGGAGUAGUACUAAUUAUCAAUUGUGAAUGUGAUAGUAGUGAAGGGGUUUCCUUGUGUGUUUCUGACGCGUUGACUUGGACUGUUUCUUUUGUGCAGGAGAGUGAUUUAUAAGCGAUAGUUACAUUUAUCUUUCCCUUUGUUCCCUAGCUUUUCCCCCAACAGCUAUCUUUCUUCGUACCCGCACAGGCGAAAUUGCAAUUGUUUUGUGGAACCAAACACUAUACACAUUAGCCUUGAAGAAAAGACAUUUGUGAUUUACUCUUCCAUCCUUAUUUUCUCCGCCCUGUUUACCAAUGCUGUAAUCCUAAUUAAUACACGGCCGCACUCUUCUAGAGACUUAGGAAGAAAUUAAACAAGGUUGAACUAUGAUUAUAGUCUAGCUUUGCAGUUGCCUGCUUCUCCAUGUGUGCUCAAAACAGCAAUUUCUAAGUUGAAUCACUAUUUAUUUAAGAUACAAUGCCUGAAAGAUAUCUCCUCGUUUACGAGAUAUGCCUUGCCUUAAAUCUGUUCUUUUUCAUGAACAAAAACAGGCUUUGAGGAUCGCAGUAGAGAUAUGACUGAGUCACAACUAGAGAUCGCAUUCUUGGCGAACAAUGCCUAAUUAUAUAUACAUAUGCCAUGAAGUGGUAGGAUGUCAUUUGAUUGUCGCUGUCAGAAGCAGUCUUCUCCUGGACACUGCCAUAACUCCUCUCAGGCCUCUCGUGUUCCGACGUAAGCGAAUAAAACAUCACUCUCUUGGAAGUUCUAGCCGUGGUAUUGUUUCAAUAAGUGAAAUCUUUUUUCUUGAGAAGGAUUUGCGUUGAUUCUGUUCGCAGUGAUUUAAAAAUACCUGCGUUACUUGCAUUCUUGGAGAUAUUUUUAAGGCUGGAGCUGAGGAUCCGGCUGCUGUUCUUGGGGCGAAUUUGGGUCUUAAUUUUAGCAUCAUUUUUACGAGCGUCCGUCUGAAUAUAACAACGGCAGUGACCGUUGACAGACUUUUAAGCCAACAUGUCAGCAAAACAAUUGUUGAACGUAUAUACGUCGCCAGAUGUCUUCAUAUUUUCUACACACAUACUGCAAGCUUCGUAGUCACGUCAAACACGCUUCACUCAAACAAAACGGAUCUUAACCAACAGUGAUUUACAAAAGAACUAGUUGUCCUAACUGUUAGUGUGUAGUAUCUUUUCGACUUUGGCCUCAGGCUUAAGCUGGAAAUCAACCAUUCCAGUACCCAGCUUGACAGUUAGGAGAAACCGAUUUUCCUCUUUCUCAUAUUUCGUAUUCCCGAUGGUUUCAUUAAGCACUGAAGAUACCAUAUUGACGUUUGCAACACAUAUUGCUCAUGCGCACUUUGGUAAGUGCUGUGUCAAAAAUCACAUAGCUUCUCUUCUUCACCAUGUCAUCUUCAAGUUACUUCGCCUUAUUUUUUUCCCGUACCGAUCAAAUACGAAGUAAAAGAAACAGAUCACGAAACAAGUCACGAUGUCAAUGCCGAUUCUAGUGGCAGUACUCUUAUGGCCGCGGUCAUCUACGAAGCACCACUUACCACAUCAGUUGCACCCUUCAAAAUACUGCCUGCCGCAGAGUUACAUUCUUGCAUAGCCAUUUAAUCUUACGAGAGACGUGAAGCGGAAAUUAUCUGGCAGGUUGCUGUUUGUGGUCACAUAGAUCCGUUUGGCACUUAUCUACAAAAACAAUAAACCAUAUUUUCUUACAUCUAAUAUCUUUUUAGUAAGGAAUUAGCGACCUAGAAAAUGCACCUGUUAUUCGUUUUCUCUCUUUUUUUCUGCUAUUGCAAAAGAGUCUAAGCUGCCUAAAAAUUACGAAAUUUUUUGAAGCACUAUGUUUAAUUACAACAGCAUCAAAAAAGAUCAGCUGCAUUAGAGUAACAGAGAUUGGAAUAGACGUACCAUAAUAUUCACACAUUUUUAUAAUAGAGAGAAAUAGGAUAACCUUAUAAUGUGGUCGCAUGUGUUUUUCUGUGUAUGUGAACUCACCCUCGCGUCAGUCUGUUGGUCUUGUGUAUCUUCACUAUUGAGGAAAGGUGAAUUGUAUACGUAGCGCGUCUUCCUACUUUGUUCCCGUGCGAUGUAAUGUGGUGUCUGCUGUGAAGGUGAGUGUUACGAAAGCGGCAGUACGGAUAGAUAGAUUGAUCGGAGGGGCAAAGUCCGUAGCCGCAGUAUUGACUGUUAAUAGGAUUAGCUGUCGUUCCUUGUUCGCUUGUCCUUAGUAUUUUCUUCUGCAGUCGCCUUAUUCUUGUGAUUCGUGCAGAAUCAGGGCGAAAACCCCUCUAGGGGUUUACGGCUGCCCUGAGCAUUGAUAUGGUAAGGGGCAAACUGCCGAGAGCAGGGACUUUAUGAUGGAAUGGCAGGGAUGAUGGUUGUAGAGACUGUUUGGAGAGGAAGGCGAAGGUAGUUUAGUCAAGCGGCGUUUGACUCUACUAUGCUAACGUCAUCACGCUUUUGUUAUUAUUGUGCGCAUUUGUACAAAUCGCGCUAUCUAGCAACCACGCGAACCCGACAAACCUAUAUACAUAUAUAUAUAUAUAUAGAGGAACAUGAUCUCUGGGGGCAGCUGCGAAUAGAGGCUGAUACAGGGUGCGCUACUGAGACCUACGGUUCUACUUGGGCUCUACAGACCUGGUUUGUUCCAACCAUUUUUUGAUGCUACGUGAGAUCACAAACUAUCAGCCUCUCCCCUUCUCGUAUUGUUAUCUGUUUUCUCUGCAGCUUCGCUACUCAUGUGAUUGAUAUAUAAGAAAUUCCUCUUUACCAAAACGUAACUUGAAAUGCCCGGAGCGCGAUGUCACGACUUUGCAGAGAGAUUAGAAAUAAGCAGCUCAGAUAUGAUUUGUAAGUUUGUUUAGCGAUGUCAUUCUUACAUCCGUACAAAUAACAGCCUGAGAUUAUCACUGUUAGCCAAAGAGAAUUAGGCAUAGUCAAAAGACCGCGUAUUGAAAAACACGCGUUGCCUUUUGUUAGGUGCAACGGUCCUUGAGAACGUCUCAUUGUUUAAAUAUAAAGAGACGAACAAUAAAUUAGAUAAAUACAGACUUUGUCGAUAUAAUAUUAUAACUAUGUGUAACUCAAAUCACUUAGAGGCUAGGAAGUAGAUGGAUAGAUAAGUGGUCGUUGCAGGUUGAAAUCAUUACUGUACAACUGAUUAACUAGUGUUAUCCUAAUGCAUAAAUUACUGUAGAAAACCAUCUUUCAAAUGGGUGACCUCUCAGACCCGAGUUGAUCUUCAUCCUUAAACUAUGCACUAUGGUUUUUGUAAUAUGUUCAUCCUCAUUGAACUUUUACAUUUAGGGAAGGCUGUAGAACCGAAUGAUGAUGCGUAGACCCAUUUUGCUGAAAAAGUUGUUUAAUAUAUACAUUUGAAUUUAUAUGUGUGUGUCCGAAGAGGCAAGUGUAUACGAGUUUACAGUCUAUGGGAAAAUCAGAAAAUAAGAGAUGAUCACAGCUCUUCAUUUCAAAGCGGAUCGUUUGUAUCAAGGAACGCCUGGAAUGACAUUAACGACAUACCCAGCUAGCCGCGCACCCCUUGGGAAUAACCCAGGCCGUGUGCUGGUAUUACGGUUAUAUACAAGGGGAAGGGGUAAUGUUGGGUUGCGAGCGACGGGAGUGCGGAAUUUAACCAUUGAAAAGACAAAACGAAAUCAGCUGCGUAAAUGUCCUCCGUGCCAAGAGAACCCUCGUCUAUACGUUCAAAGGCACGAACGAAACGUUCUUUUAAAGUUAGGCCAUGCUCUGUCUAACGAGGAAUAGCUCAGACGAUAACUCUAGGUUUCACAAUUUCUAUGGUCUAUAUGCUUUUAAGGUUGUUCAGUGGUCUCUACUUAAUUGAUAGUAGCGAUUCGCAGUAUAAUUUUUUUCUCGAUUAGCUUAACCAUUUUAGAGUAAGCUUGUGGGGCAAAGAAGCUAUAGAGAUAUAAGCAAGGUAAGUACAAGAUGACAAAAAGUUGUCUAUAAUAGUAGAUGUAAUAAUCUAAUAAAAUAGUAGAUGUAAUUCUUUUGUUCACGUUAUAAAAUCUUUGUCGGUCUAUGAAAGGUGUUUUGGAAUUGAAAAUACGUGUCAGACGUAGACAAUGUAAACAGAAAUUUUCAGAAGUCACGCAACGAAAUGCACGACCCCCUGGGCUUUUGUCGUGUAGAUUCAAACUUUGCCAACACACAAAAAUCAGACAGCGCAGUGCAACAAAUAUUAAAGCAUAUGCGGUCACUUAGCUCAGCUCUCCUUUAGCAGAUGAAACUGCGGAUUUUCGACAUUGAGAUAACUUUGAGAACUUAUAGCAGUUGUCCAAGCCAGUAAACCUACAAACGGAUAGCCUAAUCCUCAAUAAAGCGGAAUCAGCCAUUGACCAAAGGCAGCUAAAUGUUAAUAUGUUAUUGUAGCGUAAAUAUACAAACAAACACCUUGUUAGUAAAUUCAUUGAACAAUUUAUAUCGACCUUAUUUUUGCUACGUUACACCUUAAUUAACAGUUCAUUGAAUACCUUCAGUAUUAUUAGCAGGAAUAGUGAAAGAAGCAGUUAUGACCGUUUUGGAAGUUAGGUACGUGUUAAAGACGCAAAAAUAGAAAUGGAAUUUUAUUAGAAAAAGUUCCGUGUUUACAUCGUUGUUUGUCUUCGUCGUUUCGUAUAUAUCCAUCGUUGCUUAAAAUUAUUAAAAUUAAGAAUACAAAUUACACUAACAUCGAAUAUGAGUUAUGCAGUGAAGAAUUCAUGUCCAUAAUCUUGUCCACGUACUAUACGUUCAACAGACGUUGCUU